This 346-nucleotide ribosomal RNA is filed under the name uncultured bacterium. RNAcentral describes it as "bacterial SSU rRNA". It matches the Rfam family "Bacterial small subunit ribosomal RNA", at positions 329 to 691 of the family's 1533-position model. The record is from RNAcentral.
UGCCAGACUCCUACGGGAGGCAGCAGUGGGGGAUAUUGCACAAUGGGGGAAACCCUGAUGCAGCGACGCCGCGUGAGUGAAGAAGUAUUUCGGCAUGUAAAGCUCUAUCAGCAGGGAAGAAGAAGGACGGUACCUGAGUAAGAAGCCCCGGCUAACUACGUGCCAGCAGCCGCGGUAAUACGUAGGAGGCAAGCGUUAUCCGGAUUUACUGGGUGUAAAGGGAGCGUAGACGGCGAAGAAAGUCUGAAGUGAAAGCCCGGGGCUCAACCGCGGAAUGGCUUUGGAAACUUUUUUGCUGGAGUACCGGAGAGGUAAGCGGAAUUCCUAGUGUAGCGGUGAAAUGCGU